Molecule: non-coding RNA, 244 nt
Filed under: Sphingobium sp. TCM1
Lineage: Bacteria; Pseudomonadati; Pseudomonadota; Alphaproteobacteria; Sphingomonadales; Sphingobiaceae
Also listed under: 1 other name
Source: RNAcentral
CCGGUCGUUGAUCGCGCCGGUGCCCUUGCGAAGGGGCUGAAAAUGGGAAUGCGGUGAGAAGGCCUGGCCCCUUCGAUUCCGCGGCUGUCCCUGCAACUGUGAGCGGUGAGCAUGUUGCAUAGGCUUUUCUGAAACAGGGAAAGCAGCCACUGGGCCGGACGCUAAAUCAUGCGAGGCCUGGGAAGGCCAUGCAGCAUCGCUAUGACCCGCGAGCCAGGAGACCUGCCGGCGUCUGGUCGCUCUU